This 74-nucleotide transfer RNA is filed under the name Maribacter sp. Its description in RNAcentral is "tRNA-Asn". It matches the Rfam family "tRNA". From Rfam's summary of the family: Transfer RNA (tRNA) molecules are approximately 80 nucleotides in length. The record is from RNAcentral. RNAcentral also lists the same sequence under 2 other names. Lineage: Bacteria; Pseudomonadati; Bacteroidota; Flavobacteriia; Flavobacteriales; Flavobacteriaceae.
UCCUCCUUAGCUCAGCUGGUUAGAGCAUCUGACUGUUAAUCAGAGGGUCCAAGGUUCGAGUCCUUGAGGGGGAG